This is a non-coding RNA of Coffea arabica (coffee), 881 nucleotides long. The record is from RefSeq and is a predicted model, not a curated record. Lineage: Eukaryota; Viridiplantae; Streptophyta; Magnoliopsida; Gentianales; Rubiaceae.
GAGGCCGGCAGAUUAAUAUAACACAUCAAUUUGGGGCAAAUGAAUCCAAUCCAAUCCAAACCAAAUGAACGCAAAUUGAAGGGAGGUGUAUGCUGGUGGCUAGGUAAGGGAGCCGUGGGCACUGUCUGGAGAGGUGAGGUUCAGGGGCGGGUGAUAAAUGGCCGAGAUGGAGAAGGAGAAGGGCUGGAAUAGUUGUAAGAAUACUAAGAAAGGAGGAGGAGGAGGAGGAGCAAGGGUUUUGCAAUGACUACGUGUACAGGAUCAGUACCGCGGAGGAGUGGGCGGAACUGCAGACAAGUGGAUCUACUUUUGGCCGACAAAUUGAUAAAUCAACCGGCUGUAUUCAUCUCAGCAACCUCCACCAGGUUCAGUGGGUUUUACACAACUUUUUCCUGAACUCUAAGGGACAAGACUUGUUCCUGCUCCAAAUCGAUGCUAAAAAGCUUGGUGAUGGUUUGGUUUAUGAAGCCGCUGCGGACGACUCCUCUAAGGUCUUCCCUCAUUUCUACGGUCCAUCUCGAAGUUUUGGUCCUCUUCCUCUGGAUGUUGUUACUAAAGCGGAGAAGAUAAUUCUAUCAGAUGCCAAAUUCACCUGCUGUUUGCUCAGUUAAAUUUAAAAAAAAAAAAAUUAAGGGUCUUCUUCUUUAUCGCUUUCUUCCCAUUUGAAUUGAAGCUGAAAAGCUGUUUAUGGUAUACAAAGUCGAUCCAAAUGCUCGGACUUACCAACUUGUAUUCGGAAGAAUCCUCCAGUUUUGUUUUAGAUUUACAUAUCCUAAUUGCUUUGCAAUUGGAAUAUGUGCGAGAGCCAUUGGUUGAACAGUUCAAAUAUGCUGUGUGGAAGUUUCUGUUCCUCGUCAAUUAUAUACUUUUAUGCUCACACA